GCAGAUCCAAAAAGAAAAAAAAAGAAAAAUAUUUGUAAAUAUAAUUAUACUGACUCAAUAAUCGAUAAUCCAACGGUCAGAAAUCACUGAUCCAAACUUUAUUUAAGAGAAAAAUUGAAUAAAAAUAGAGAUAAUUUUUAAAAGGAUAAGAGCAUGUUUAUUGGUGCAAUCCCUUAGUGGGUGCUUAGUGAAUUUUUAAAUAUUAAAAUUGUGAUGGGGUCAAAAAGAAAAGAACCAAACUAUGAGGACUGGAUGUGCAAAAUAGCCAAAAGUAGCCAUUGAUGUUUCACGAGUCUUUCGAAUGCGACGGCGAACUUGAUUCCAACGAUGAGCAGCACGACGGAAAUGAACUGACGAUGUCGAAACUGAGGUGGAGGAAAGCUGACGACGCCGAUGAUUCAGGGACUGUGCAGUGGAGGAGAGCUGAGACGUUGGGGAUUGAUGAUUGGAGCAUCGGAGAGGGGAGAAACAACCAACCAUGGUCUCCAAUCUCGAGAUGCAGAGCGGCUUCAUGGCGUCGAGGAGUCGUCGAGGUGUCGAGGACUCCCUGUUUCGCCAUCGAGAGAAGAAAAAGAAAAAAGACGAAAGACGACACUGCUCCUCCAGCCAACCUGAUUGUGCCACGUACCCGCUAAGCAACGUGCCUUCGAGACCCAAAUUAGGCGACGUCCUUUGUUUAAUUGUCUAUUUUCCUUUUAUUUUAAUUGCCAAUUUAGCUAAACAACCCUCCUAAGCGACGCCGAUAAACAUGCUCUAAGGAUAACAUGUGAGAAUGAAAAUCACCCUCUUGGGAGAGAUAUUUUAUCACAAUAUUUUUUGGAUCUUUCUGUGUUCUCUGAGUCAGCAAACGAUGUAAACUAUGAAAGACACAUUCAUUAUCAGUCAUAUGGAUUCACAAAGCCAAAGUUUGUGUGUUUACUUGCUCACCACAACACUCAGCUUACUAUACAUACAAUUCCACCAGUAGAUGCGUACACUGGUUGUCGACAGAAGCACUCGGCAUGGUUUCUUCCUUCUCAUGCCAGUCUCUUUGAUGGUUACUGUUUUAUGCUGCCCGUCAAUGGUGCAAGCUCUGCCGCUGCAGCUACUUCAGCUUUGAUUUUAUGUUUUCGAUCCUACAAAAAACACAUCCUCAUUAUUUGGUUAACCGGGUAGAAGUUGUAUGCAUCGUUGUCCUGUAGGUCUUUGCUAUCAUUUUGGUGCAACACGUACGGGCCUUUUACUCCCAUUGUUUGAGGAAGAUGACUGUGCGUCUUGGUCUACUAGAGAGUGACCAUUAUCACAACUCUUUUCCAAACUGGACUGAGAUUCCUCAUCUGACUUGCCAACUGAAGAAUCAACUGGAGCUGGCGGUUGUUGCUCCUUUCGUGGAGAUAGGUGCUUGAUUACCAACUAGAGAAACACCAGGAGGUGAGAAUGAUGGAAUCUGAUUUAAAGUGUCCGUGCUUGAUUUGCUACAAUGUAAGGAGAGCCCAAAGUACCUAAAAGUGUAAGAGGAUAGCCCAAAGUAACUAAACAUGUAAAGCACUCAUAUAUAAACACAAGGCCCCCAAUCAUGUGCUUGGUUGGCUUGUAUUGAAGACCGGCACUGGUUCUCGCACUGUAUGGUUGACUAUAGAUUGGGCCUUGUUGAUCUAGUUGAUAAAGAAAAAAAAGUAUAGGAACAUGACCUAUUGAUAUAAUCGAAUGUCAAGAUUUGAGGACUAAUUUUUUUUAUAUAAUAUCAAUACUAUUAAAACAAGAACAU
Molecule: long non-coding RNA, 1747 nt
Organism: Brassica rapa (field mustard)
Lineage: Eukaryota; Viridiplantae; Streptophyta; Magnoliopsida; Brassicales; Brassicaceae
Source: RefSeq, a predicted model, not a curated record